GUUAAGGCAGUCAGGACCUGGACGACCUAGAUGAGCGAUAUGAGAUGAAGUUGUCAGAUUUGUACACUCCACUGACUGAUGAUGAACUUGAUGGCAUUGUAGCAGACAUUCACAGGCAUAAUCCCAGAGCAGGGAUUAGGAUGAUCCGUGGUCUUCUUAAAUCACAGGGUCUACAUUUGCAAACCUAUCGUGUGCAAACUCACUGUGACGAGUGGAUCCUGAGGCUACUUCAGCAAGGCACGUAUCCAUGCAUGUGCUGAGGCGCACGCAGCAUGCAGUCCGUGCUCCGAACAGUUUAUGGCACAUUGAUGGAAAUCACAAACUAAUA
Molecule: long non-coding RNA, 328 nt
Organism: Dunckerocampus dactyliophorus (ringed pipefish)
Lineage: Eukaryota; Metazoa; Chordata; Actinopteri; Syngnathiformes; Syngnathidae
Exons: 3
Source: RefSeq, a predicted model, not a curated record